UACGUAGGGUGCGAGCGUUAAUCGGAAUUACUGGGCGUAAAGCGUGCGCAGGCGGCGGCUCAAGUCAGGUGUGAAAUCCCCGGGCUUAACCUGGGAAUUGCGCUUGAAACUAGGUCGCUAGAGUGUGGCAGAGGGGGGUGGAAUUCCACGUGUAGCAGUGAAAUGCGUAGAGAUGUGGAGGAACACCGAUGGCGAAGGCAGCCCCCUGGGUCAACACUGACGCUCAGGCACGAAAGCGUGGGGAGCAAACAGG
RNAcentral lists this ribosomal RNA (253 nucleotides) under uncultured bacterium. RNAcentral describes it as "partial 16S ribosomal RNA". It matches the Rfam family "Bacterial small subunit ribosomal RNA", at positions 524 to 776 of the family's 1533-position model. The record is from RNAcentral.